Molecule: long non-coding RNA, 326 nt
Filed under: Sorghum bicolor (sorghum)
Lineage: Eukaryota; Viridiplantae; Streptophyta; Magnoliopsida; Poales; Poaceae
Description: long non-coding RNA (SBIC_LNC007258)
Source: RNAcentral
CAGCAGAGGCGGCAGUUGCCGGUGAGGAUGGGCCGGGAUCAGGUCCAAGUCUCACUGUCUCUGCUCUCGACCUCGUUCUUUCUGAAUAUGCCUAAUGCUCCUCCACCACCUCCUCCUAAGGACAAGGAUAAAGAUAGAGAUAAGAAUGGAGGUGGCCAAUGUGGGUGAUCACUGAUCAAGUUUAUGAAAAAUAGGAGACUACCUCCCAUGCAGCAUCACCACUAGCUGCUUAUGUAAUGUCAGGCAAUUAGAUUGUGGUUCUUCACUGCAUUUGUGGGAGUAAAAUAAGUCACUUGGAUUGGUGGGCAGAGAAGAGUAUGCAGAUA